GACAGAGGGGGCAAGCGUUGCUCGGAAUUACUGGGCGUAAAGGGCGCGUAGGCGGAAUGGCAAGUCGGUCGUGAAAUCCUUCGGCUCAACCGAAGAACGUCGAUCGAAACUGCCGUUCUUGAGGAUUGCAGAGGAGACUGGAAUUCCCGGUGUAGCGGUGAAAUGCGCAGAUAUCAGGAGGAACACCGGUGGCGAAGGCGGUUCUCUGGGCCUUACCUGACGCUGAGGAGCGAAAGCAUGGGGAGCAAACAGG
RNAcentral lists this ribosomal RNA (253 nucleotides) under uncultured bacterium. RNAcentral describes it as "partial 16S ribosomal RNA". It matches the Rfam family "Bacterial small subunit ribosomal RNA", at positions 524 to 776 of the family's 1533-position model. The record is from RNAcentral.